This 652-nucleotide ribosomal RNA is filed under the name Bacillus safensis. RNAcentral describes it as "bacterial SSU rRNA". It matches the Rfam family "Bacterial small subunit ribosomal RNA", at positions 56 to 691 of the family's 1533-position model. Lineage: Bacteria; Bacillati; Bacillota; Bacilli; Caryophanales; Bacillaceae. The record is from RNAcentral.
UGCAAGUCGAGCGGACAGAAGGGAGCUUGCUCCCGGAUGUUAGCGGCGGACGGGUGAGUAACACGUGGGUAACCUGCCUGUAAGACUGGGAUAACUCCGGGAAACCGGAGCUAAUACCGGAUAGUUCCUUGAACCGCAUGGUUCAAGGAUGAAAGACGGUUUCGGCUGUCACUUACAGAUGGACCCGCGGCGCAUUAGCUAGUUGGUGGGGUAAUGGCUCACCAAGGCGACGAUGCGUAGCCGACCUGAGAGGGUGAUCGGCCACACUGGGACUGAGACACGGCCCAGACUCCUACGGGAGGCAGCAGUAGGGAAUCUUCCGCAAUGGACGAAAGUCUGACGGAGCAACGCCGCGUGAGUGAUGAAGGUUUUCGGAUCGUAAAGCUCUGUUGUUAGGGAAGAACAAGUGCGAGAGUAACUGCUCGCACCUUGACGGUACCUAACCAGAAAGCCACGGCUAACUACGUGCCAGCAGCCGCGGUAAUACGUAGGUGGCAAGCGUUGUCCGGAAUUAUUGGGCGUAAAGGGCUCGCAGGCGGUUUCUUAAGUCUGAUGUGAAAGCCCCCGGCUCAACCGGGGAGGGUCAUUGGAAACUGGGAAACUUGAGUGCAGAAGAGGAGAGUGGAAUUCCACGUGUAGCGGUGAAAUGCGU